This 451-nucleotide ribosomal RNA is filed under the name uncultured bacterium. RNAcentral describes it as "bacterial SSU rRNA". It matches the Rfam family "Bacterial small subunit ribosomal RNA", at positions 29 to 524 of the family's 1533-position model. The record is from RNAcentral.
AACGAACGCUGGCGGCAUGCCUAACACAUGCAAGUCGAACGAAGUCUUCGGACUUAGUGGCGCACGGGUGCGUAACGCGUGGGAAUCUGCCCUUGGGUGCGGAAUAACUUCUCGAAAGGGAUGCUAAUACCGCAUAAUGUCGUAAGACCAAAGAUUUAUCGCCCAAGGAUGAGCCCGCGUAAGAUUAGCUAGUUGGUGGGGUAAAAGCCUACCAAGGCGACGAUCUUUAGCUGGUCUGAGAGGAUGAUCAGCCACACUGGGACUGAGACACGGCCCAGACUCCUACGGGAGGCAGCAGUGGGGAAUAUUGGACAAUGGGCGAAAGCCUGAUCCAGCAAUGCCGCGUGAGUGAUGAAGGCCCUAGGGUUGUAAAGCUCUUUUACCAGGGAUGAUAAUGACAGUACCUGGAGAAUAAGCUCCGGCUAACUACCGUGCCAGCAGCCGCGGUAAU